RNAcentral lists this ribosomal RNA (277 nucleotides) under uncultured bacterium. RNAcentral describes it as "partial 16S ribosomal RNA". It matches the Rfam family "Bacterial small subunit ribosomal RNA", at positions 506 to 784 of the family's 1533-position model. The record is from RNAcentral.
UGCCAGCCGCCGCGGUAAUACGUAGGGGGCGAGCGUUAUCCGGAAUCAUUGGGCGUAAAGGGUGUGUAGGCGGUUUGUGUAAGCGAGAGGUGAAAGGCUAUGGCUCAACCAUAGUAGCCUUUCGAACUGGCGAACUUGAGUGCAGGAGAGGAGAGCGGAAUUCCUAGUGUAGCGGUGAAAUGCGUAGAUAUUAGGAGGAACACCAGUGGCGAAGGCGGCUCUCUGGACUGUAACUGACGCUGAGGCACGAAAGCGUGGGUGCAAACAGGAUUAGAUA